Planococcus citri (citrus mealybug) is the source of this 593-nucleotide long non-coding RNA. RefSeq lists it as uncharacterized. The transcript is spliced from 4 exons. The record is from RefSeq and is a predicted model, not a curated record. Lineage: Eukaryota; Metazoa; Arthropoda; Insecta; Hemiptera; Pseudococcidae.
AUUGGAAUUAUCACAGGUGCGCCCAGCAUCGCUAUAGGUAUAUUGGUUUUUGGAAUCGGUUAUUGCAACGAUCUCAUCAUUAAAAAAGGCAUACUGACAGCAACAUCUGCAAGGAAAAUUUGCACCAUGAUAGGUGGUAUUCUGUCCAUGAUUCCACUUAUGAUGAUAGCCUUAACCAAAUGUAAUUUGAAACUGAUCAUCUCCUAUUCAACAAUUCACCAUGUUACGAGUGUGUUUCUAAUGUUUGGACCUACCUUGGUUCUCAUGGACCUGAGUCCAAAAUUUUGUGGAAUUCUGGAACGAUUUUCUGGUACAACAAGUUCCCUACUCGCGUUCGUUUUUUCUACAAUGGUGAAUUACUUUACCACAAUCUAUGAUGUCGAGUUAUUAUGGAAAAUGGUGUUCUUGUGCACAGCAACGGGUGCUAUUUUUGCAAGCAUAAUAUUCCUGAUUUUUGGCACGUCCGAAGUGCAACGUUGGAAUUUCAAAGAUGAUACCGAAAAAGAUCCACCACUGAAUGCGUCACGUAGUAAUCGAGCCCUAAUUUUGUAAUCGAACAAGUUUCUAGUUAUAAUGUGUGUAGUACAUGUCAA